This 492-nucleotide ribosomal RNA is filed under the name uncultured bacterium. Its description in RNAcentral is "partial 16S ribosomal RNA". It matches the Rfam family "Bacterial small subunit ribosomal RNA", at positions 29 to 507 of the family's 1533-position model. The record is from RNAcentral.
AGUGAACGCUGGCGGUAGGCCUAACACAUGCAAGUCGAACGGCAGCACAGUAAGAGCUUGCUCUUACGGGUGGCGAGUGGCGGACGGGUGAGGAAUACAUCGGAAUCUACUUUUUCGUGGGGGAUAACGUAGGGAAACUUACGCUAAUACCGCAUACGACCUACGGGUGAAAGCAGGGGAUCUUCGGACCUUGCGCGAUUGAAUGAGCCGAUGUCGGAUUAGCUAGUUGGCGGGGUAAAGGCCCACCAAGGCGACGAUCCGUAGCUGGUCCGAGAGGAUGGAUCGCCCAAACUGGAACGGGGACAGGUCCCAGAUCCCAAGGGGAGGCAGCAGUGGGAAAUAUUGGACAAGGGGCGCAAGCUUGUUCCAGCCAUACGGGGUGGGUGAAGAGGGCUUUCGGGUGGUAAGCCCUUUUGUUGGGAAAGAAAAGCAGCAGGUUAAUACCCCGCUGUUCUGACGGUACCCAAAGAAUAAGCACCGGCUAACUUCGUG